ACGCUCGAGCCACAGCACUUCUCUGGCUGCCUCUCCCUCCAGUUUCUCGCAGCAUGUUGAGUGCGACUCCAUCCUAGAUUGGAACCGGGUUCGGGUCCACUGUCUGCGCCUCCGGGGAGGAAGAGAAGAGAAAGUCCAAGAUGGGGUAACCGGCGGAAGACCCUUCCCCCGUCCUUCCCCUCCAGCGGUCCCCGUUGCCCGCCAAUUUCGGAGUUUCGACCGCUGGAGACCGAGUUCACUUGGCUUCUGAGAUCUGCCUGUGUGUAUUCGGGAUAAAGGUCAACUUCUCUAUGAGGGCGGUUUUUUUCCCCUCCCCUAAUCACCACCAUCAUCAUAUUAUAUACAUCUUUCUCGGAUUUAUUUGGGGUUCUUAAUUGUGUGACUCAUCGCGUGAUUAUUUGGGAAAUAAAAAAGAAAAGAAAGUG
Molecule: long non-coding RNA, 425 nt
Organism: Tachyglossus aculeatus (Australian echidna)
Lineage: Eukaryota; Metazoa; Chordata; Mammalia; Monotremata; Tachyglossidae
Exons: 2
Source: RefSeq, a predicted model, not a curated record